Molecule: ribosomal RNA, 239 nt
Filed under: uncultured bacterium
Lineage: Bacteria
Description: partial 16S ribosomal RNA
Rfam family: Bacterial small subunit ribosomal RNA
Source: RNAcentral
AGAGUUUGAUCCUGGCUCAGGAUAAACGCUGGCGGCGCACAUAAGACAUGCAAGUCGAACGGACUUAAUCGAAAUAUUUAUAUUUUGAAGCGGUUAGUGGCGGACUGGUGAGUAACGCGUAAGGAACCUGCCUAUUAGAGGGGAAUAACAGUGAGAAAUCAUUGCUAAUACCGCAUAUGCCAUAGAUAUCACAUGAUAACAGUGGGAAAGGAGCAAUCCGCUAAUAGAUGGCCUUGCGU